Schistosoma curassoni is the source of this 45-nucleotide non-coding RNA. Lineage: Eukaryota; Metazoa; Platyhelminthes; Trematoda; Strigeidida; Schistosomatidae. The record is from Rfam.
AUUCAUCUGAUGAGUCCCAAAUGGGGCGAAACGCGCAUACUGGAU